This 578-nucleotide ribosomal RNA is filed under the name uncultured bacterium. RNAcentral's name for it is "bacterial SSU rRNA". It matches the Rfam family "Bacterial small subunit ribosomal RNA", at positions 340 to 916 of the family's 1533-position model. The record is from RNAcentral.
UACGGGAGGCAGCAGUGGGGAAUCUUGCGCAAUGGGCGAAAGCCUGACGCUACAACGCCGCGUGGAUGAUGAAGGCCUUCGGGUCGUAAAAUCCUGUUGUGGGGGACGAAACCUCGCGCUCGUAACUGGGCGCGAACUGACGGUACCCCACGAGGAAGCCCCGGCUAACUACGUGCCAGCAGCCGCGGUAAUACGUAGGGGGCGAGCGUUGAUCCGGAAUUAUUGGGCGUAAAGAGCUCGUAGGCGGCAUUUCAAGUCAGGUGUGAAAGCCGACGGCUUAACCGGAGGACUGCAUUUGAUACUGGAGUGCUUGAGGUAGGUAGAGGAAGGUAGAAUUCCCGGUGUAGCGGUGAAAUGCGUAGAUAUCGGGAGGAAUACCAGUGGCGAAGGCGGCCUUCUGGGCCUUACCUGACGCUGAGGAGCGAAAGCUAGGGGAGCGAACGGGAUUAGAUACCCCGGUAGUCCUAGCCGUAAACGAUGGGCACUAGGAGGUCUUGACCCCUUCCGUGCCGCAGCUAACGCAUUAAGUGCCCCGCUGGGGAGUACGGCCGCAGGUUGAAACUCAAAGGAAUUGACGG